GACGAACGCUAGCGGCGUGCCUAAGCUAUGCAAGUCGAGCGGGGUUUCAGAGUCGAGUUUCCUUCGGGAGACAAAGCACUGAAACCUAGCGGCGAACGGGUGAGUAACACGUGAGCAACCUACCCUGUUGUCCGGGAUAACAGACCGAAAGGCCUGCUAAUACCGGAUACGAAGCUCCUUCGCAUGUUGGAGCUUGGAAAGGGGCAACCCGCAAUGGGAGGGGCUUACGGCCUAUCAGCUAGUUGGUGAGGUAACGGCCCACCAAGGCGACGACGGGUAGCCGACCUGAGAGGGUGACCGGCCACACUGGGACUGAGACACGGCCCAGACUCCUACGGGAGGCAGCAAGCGGGAAUCUUGCACAAUGGGCGCAAGCCUGAUGCAGCGACGCCGCGUGAGGGAUGAAGGCCUUCGGGUCGUAAACCUCUGUUGAUGGGGACGAAGAUCUGACG
This 452-nucleotide ribosomal RNA is filed under the name uncultured bacterium. RNAcentral's name for it is "bacterial SSU rRNA". It matches the Rfam family "Bacterial small subunit ribosomal RNA", at positions 28 to 458 of the family's 1533-position model. The record is from RNAcentral.